UACGAAGGGGGCUAGCGUUGCUCGGAUUGACUGGGCGUAAAGGGCGCGUAGGCGGUCUGUACAGUCAGGCGUGAAAUUCCUGGGCUCAACCUGGGGGCUGCGUUUGAUACGUGCAGACUAGAGUGCGGAAGAGGGUCGUGGAAUUUCCAGUGUAGAGGUGAAAUUCGUAGAUAUUGGGAAGAACACCGGUGGCGAAGGCGGCGACCUGGUCCGAUACUGACGCUGAGGCGCGAAAGCGUGGGGAGCAAACAGG
Molecule: ribosomal RNA, 253 nt
Filed under: uncultured bacterium
Lineage: Bacteria
Description: partial 16S ribosomal RNA
Rfam family: Bacterial small subunit ribosomal RNA
Source: RNAcentral